CUAACUUAUUACUAGGCCUUGGUGAAUUGAAUAAGUCAUUUAAAAGCUUUCAGAGUCAGAUUUCUCCAUUUCUUCUACUGUUAUGUCUCAUUUUGACAGCAGCUUCACAUUUGAUGAACAAAUAUAUGCUGCUGUCAUAGCUAGUUUCUCCCAAGUGAGGUCCCUUGCAAAGGCUCUUUCUCUCUUUUUCUUUUCAAUCCUUUAUUUCAUCCAAGCUUGACUAUUGCAUUAGGGUUUUUUUUUUUAGAAACAGCAACUCUGUGCUUUCUUGUCUGCAACUUGUCUCCUGACAGGCACACAUAGGCCAGCCCAUGCAACCCUUGUUUUAGCUUCUUUGCACCGGCUCUUGAUAAGUUUUAGAAUCAAUUUUAAGAUUUUAUUCUUUGUUUUUAACUCGUGAAAUAGACAGACACCUUCAUACCUUUCUGACCUUCCAAGUACACUCCUAAAAGCUAAUUGAGGUUAACUGACCAGAUGCUCUGAUUGUACCAAGAGGUAGAUCAAAGCAUUGAGGAGAUCAGGCCUUUGCUGUAGCUGCUUCUAAAGUUCGGGACAGCCAGCCGCUUGAACGUAGGAUCUCAACAACACUUUACAUCUUCAAAACCCGUUUGAAAACUCAUUUCUAUUCUUUGGCAUUUAAGCCAAACUGAGUCUUGACAGUUGUUUUUUUAUCUGUCAGUUUUUUUGUGCUACUUUUAUUGUUUUAUUCUUUUAGUUCUACAGCACUUUGGUCAGCGCUUGUUUUUUUAAAAAAAAAGAUGUGCAUAUAAAUAAAUUGACUUGACUUGACUCACAUAAUGACAACUUUCUCCUGGUUUACAUUACUAAGCUUCAGGUAGUGAACAGACAUGAAAAUGACAGUCUUAUCUAACAAUGUAUUGAUACAAUAUGUAAUAAUAUAAUAAUAAACAGUCUAACUCUCUGCAGUAAAGCAAAUAGCUUGGUGAAGUGUAUUCUUAAGGUAUGUCUUUUAUUUAUUGGCUUAUCUUUUUCAUGGUUAUUAAUGAGUAGUUUUGCUGUUCGUGAGAUUUAGUUUGAAUUAUUGUUGCAGGUUUUGUUUGUUUUGUUAUUUUUUAUGUUUAUUCUUGCAUUUCUGACUUUGGUUAGAAUAGUUGUUCUGUUUUCAUCUCACUCGUUCCAGUAUUACUAUACUAUUACUACUUUCUUUUUUUUCAUUUCAAAUCCAUCUCCGGAGUCUGUGUUUAUGUCCUCCGCCUCUGCUACACUCCAAAACAUGACAUUUAGAGGUCUGUAUAUGCAGCAAGUUGUUGUAUACAUUUGACGGAGUAGUCUCCCUCUUUCUUUUGAGAUUAUGCUACACAUCUUGCUAUCUCCUGCUUAGCCUUAACAAAUAAUGUCACCAAAUUAUGAUAAGGUGGUCUGACUUUUUUUUCGCUGAGCAAGAAUGUGAAGAAUCCUUUGAUGUUCAGUGGUAUAAUAAAACCAAGCAAACAUGAUGUCUUAUAUCAGCUAAAGUGUAUUCUUCAGUGUAAUAAAAUGAGAAUCUAAAAGAUAUUUCCUAAGAUUUUACACAAAAUCCAAACAUAUUUAAAGGUCUUUCCAAAAACGUCAGAGGCUUUAGGGAGCUGCAUAAAAUCUGAUAAACUGAUUGAAAUCACUUGAGU
Molecule: long non-coding RNA, 1625 nt
Organism: Astatotilapia calliptera (eastern happy)
Lineage: Eukaryota; Metazoa; Chordata; Actinopteri; Cichliformes; Cichlidae
Source: Ensembl